This 252-nucleotide ribosomal RNA is filed under the name Delftia sp. RNAcentral's name for it is "partial 16S ribosomal RNA". It matches the Rfam family "Bacterial small subunit ribosomal RNA", at positions 9 to 265 of the family's 1533-position model. Lineage: Bacteria; Pseudomonadati; Pseudomonadota; Betaproteobacteria; Burkholderiales; Comamonadaceae. The record is from RNAcentral.
GAGUUUGAUCUUGGCUCAGAUUGAACGCUGGCGGCAUGCCUUACACAUGCAAGUCGAACGGUAACAGGUCUUCGGACGCUGACGAGUGGCGAACGGGUGAGUAAUACAUCGGAACGUGCCCAGUCGUGGGGGAUAACUACUCGAAAGAGUAGCUAAUACCGCAUACGAUCUGAGGAUGAAAGCGGGGGACCUUCGGGCCUCGCGCGAUUGGAGCGGCCGAUGGCAGAUUAGGUAGUUGGUGGGAUAAAAGCU